UAGUCAUAUGCUUGUCUCAAAGAUUAAGCCAUGCAUGUCUAAGUAUAAACAACUUUGUACUGUGAAACUGCGAAUGGCUCAUUAAAUCAGUUAUAGUUUAUUUGAUGGAUUCUGCUACAUGGAUAACUGUGGUAAUUCUAGAGCUAAUACAUGCACACAAGCCCCGACUUCUGGAAGGGGUGUAUUUAUUAGAUAAAAACCAACCCUCUCUGAGGCCUUGGUGAAUCAUAAUAACUUCUCGGAUCGCAUGGCCUUGCGCCGGCGAUGCUUCAUUCAAAUAUCUGCCCUAUCAACUGUCGAUGGUAGGAUAGAGGCCUACCAUGGUUGCAACGGGUAACGGGGAAUUAGGGUUCGAUUCCGGAGAGGGAGCCUGAGAAACGGCUACCACAUCCAAGGAAGGCAGCAGGCGCGCAAAUUACCCAAUCCCAACACGGGGAGGUAGUGACAAUAUGUAACAAUAUACGGCCUUACAAGUCGUAUAAUUGGAAUGAGUACAAUUUAAAUCCCUUAACGAGGAACAAUU
This 523-nucleotide ribosomal RNA is filed under the name uncultured eukaryote. RNAcentral's name for it is "SSU rRNA". It matches the Rfam family "Eukaryotic small subunit ribosomal RNA", at positions 21 to 549 of the family's 1831-position model. The record is from RNAcentral.